UAACGCGUGGGUAACCUGCCUUGUACUGGGGGACAACAGUUAGAAAUGACUGCUAAUACCGCAUAAGCCCACAGCUCGGCAUCGAGCAGAGGGAAAAGGAGUGAUCCGCUUUGAGAUGGCCUCGCGUCCGAUUAGCUAGUUGGUGAGGUAAUGGCCCACCAAGGCGACGAUCGGUAGCCGGACUGAGAGGUUGAACGGCCACAUUGGGACUGAGACACGGCCCAG
RNAcentral lists this ribosomal RNA (225 nucleotides) under uncultured bacterium. RNAcentral's name for it is "partial 16S ribosomal RNA". It matches the Rfam family "Bacterial small subunit ribosomal RNA", at positions 111 to 334 of the family's 1533-position model. The record is from RNAcentral.